CGCCUGUUUAUCAAAAACAUCUCUUUACAAAUUUAUGUAAAGUAGGCUCUGCUCAGUGAUAUAAAAAUUAUACAGCCGCAGUAUCCUAACUGUGCUAAGGUAGCAUAAUAACUUGUCUUAUAAUUGAAGACUGGAAUGAAAGAGUUAAUGAUAUUAAAGCUUUUUUUAUUUAAAAAAUAAAACUUGGUAUUUACAUCAAAAAAUGUAGAUUUUUAAAGGGACGAUAAGACCCUAUAAAGCUUAAUUAAACAAUUAUUAAUUCAGAAUUUUGAAUAAAAAAUUAGAAAAAUAUUUUUAAUUUAGCUGGGGCGGCAUCUAAUUUACUCAAAAGAAUAAAUAACAGUAUUUCUUGAAAUAUAAGAUCUUAUAAAAAAACUAAAACAAGCUACUUUAGGGAUAACAGCACAAUUUUUUAAUAUAGACCUUAUUGACUAAAAAGACUUGUGACCUCGAUGUUGAAUUGAGAUGUCUAAUUUAAGCAAAAAUAAAUUUAGAAGGUCUGUUCGACCUGUAAUCUCUCACGUGAUCUGAGUUCAGACCGGA
RNAcentral lists this ribosomal RNA (543 nucleotides) under Disconectes sp. 3 SB-2021a. RNAcentral's name for it is "partial 16S ribosomal RNA". It matches the Rfam family "Archaeal large subunit ribosomal RNA", at positions 1889 to 2689 of the family's 2987-position model. Lineage: Eukaryota; Metazoa; Arthropoda; Malacostraca; Isopoda; Munnopsidae. The record is from RNAcentral.